CUCGAAGGUCGGAUGAUCGCUUCUAAUAAAUUUAGAGGAGGAAAGUCCGGGCUCCACGGAAAGAGGAUGCUGGAUAACGUCCAGCGAGGGUAACCUUAGGGAAAGUGCCACAGAAAAUAUACCGCCAGCUUUUGUCUGGUAAGGGUGAAAUGGUGCGGUAAGAGCGCACCGCACCUCUGGUAACAGAGGUGGCAGGGUAAACCCCAUCCGGAGCAAGACCAAAUAGGGACGAUAGUUAGGGAAACCUAAAGGCGACUUUCCGCGUUAUCGUCCGGGUAGGUCGCGUGAAGCUUUUGGUAACAAAAGCUCCAGAUGAAUGAUCAUCCCUGGUCAUACCAGGACAGAACCCGGCUUAUAGACCUUCGAGCUUA
This 371-nucleotide RNase P RNA is filed under the name Candidatus Paracaedimonas acanthamoebae. RNAcentral describes it as "bacterial RNase P". It matches the Rfam family "Bacterial RNase P class A". From Rfam's summary of the family: Ribonuclease P (RNase P) is a ubiquitous endoribonuclease, found in archaea, bacteria and eukarya as well as chloroplasts and mitochondria. Lineage: Bacteria; Pseudomonadati; Pseudomonadota; Alphaproteobacteria; Holosporales; Caedimonadaceae. The record is from RNAcentral.